RNAcentral lists this ribosomal RNA (497 nucleotides) under uncultured bacterium. RNAcentral's name for it is "partial 16S ribosomal RNA". It matches the Rfam family "Bacterial small subunit ribosomal RNA", at positions 28 to 507 of the family's 1533-position model. The record is from RNAcentral.
GAUGAACGCUGGCGGCGUGCCUAAUACAUGCAAGUCGAGCGAACGGACGAGAAGCUUGCUUCUCUGAUGUUAGCGGAGGACGGGUGAGUAACACGUGGAUAACCUACCUAUAAGACUGGGAUAACUUCGGGACACCGGAGCUAAUACCGGAUAAUCUUUUGAACCGUAUGGUUCAAAAGUGAAAGACGGUCUUGCUGUCACUUCUAGAUGGAUCCGCGCUGCAUUAGCUAGUUGGUAAGGUAACGGCUUACCACGGCAACGAUGCAUAGCCGACCUGAGAGGGGGGUCGGCCACACGGGAGCGGAGACGCGGUCCAGGGGCCUGCGGGAGGGAGCAGUAGGGAAUGGUCCGCAGUGGGCGGAAGCCUGGCGGAGCAGCGGCGCGUGAGAGGUGGAGGUCUUGGGAGCGUGAAGCUCUGUUAUUAGGGAAGAACAGAUGUGUAAGGAACUGUGCACAGCGUGACGGUACCUAAUCAGAAAGCCACGGCUAACUACGUG